Molecule: ribosomal RNA, 793 nt
Filed under: uncultured bacterium
Lineage: Bacteria
Description: bacterial SSU rRNA
Rfam family: Bacterial small subunit ribosomal RNA
Source: RNAcentral
AGAGUUUGAUCCUGGCUCAGAUUGAACGCUGGCGGCAGGCUUAACACAUGCAAGUCGAGCGGAGAUGAGGUGCUUGCACCUUAUCUUAGCGGCGGACGGGUGAGUAAUGCUUAGGAAUCUGCCUAUUAGUGGGGGACAACAUUCCGAAAGGAAUGCUAAUACCGCAUACGCCCUACGGGGGAAAGCAGGGGAUCUUCGGACCUUGCGCUAUCAGAUGAGCCUAGGUCGGAUUAGCUAGUUGGUGAGGUAACGGCUCACCAAGGCGACGAUCCGUAACUGGUCUGAGAGGAUGAUCAGUCACACUGGAACUGAGACACGGUCCAGACUCCUACGGGAGGCAGCAGUGGGGAAUAUUGGACAAUGGGCGAAAGCCUGAUCCAGCCAUGCCGCGUGUGUGAAGAAGGUCUUCGGAUUGUAAAGCACUUUAAGCUGGGAGGAAGGGCAGUAAGUUAAUACCUUGCUGUUUUGACGUUACCGACAGAAUAAGCACCGGCUAACUUCGUGCCAGCAGCCGCGGUAAUACGAAGGGUGCAAGCGUUAAUCGGAAUUACUGGGCGUAAAGCGCGCGUAGGUGGUUCAGCAAGUUGGAUGUGAAAGCCCCGGGCUCAACCUGGGAACUGCAUCCAAAACUACUGAGCUAGAGUACGGUAGAGGGUGGUGGAAUUUCCUGUGUAGCGGUGAAAUGCGUAGAUAUAGGAAGGAACACCAGUGGCGAAGGCGACUACCUGGACUGAUACUGACACUGAGGUGCGAAAGCGUGGGGAGCAAACAGGAUUAGAUACCCUGGUAGUCC